GGGUAGCGGAACACGUACGCAACCUCCCCAAAACUGGUGAAUAGCCCUCCGAAAGGAGGAUUAAUACACCGUAAGAUAACAGAGUGGCAUCACUUUAUUAUUAUAGCUCAGGCGGUUUUGGAUGGGCGUGCGCCUGAUUAGGUAGUUGGUGAGGGUAACGGCCCACCAAGCCUGCGAUCAGUAACUGGUGUGAGAGCACGACCAGUCACACGGGCACUGAGACACGGGCCCG
This 232-nucleotide ribosomal RNA is filed under the name uncultured bacterium. Its description in RNAcentral is "partial 16S ribosomal RNA". It matches the Rfam family "Bacterial small subunit ribosomal RNA", at positions 104 to 334 of the family's 1533-position model. The record is from RNAcentral.